RNAcentral lists this ribosomal RNA (253 nucleotides) under uncultured bacterium. RNAcentral describes it as "partial 16S ribosomal RNA". It matches the Rfam family "Bacterial small subunit ribosomal RNA", at positions 524 to 776 of the family's 1533-position model. The record is from RNAcentral.
UACGGAGGUGGCGAGCGUUGUCCGGAGUUACUGGGCGUAAAGCGCUUGUAGGCGGUCCACCAAGUUUGGGGUGACAGUUGCCGACUUAAUCGGCAAAGUGCCUCAAAGACUGGCGGACUUGAGGGCCACAGAGGGACAUGGAACUCCAGGUGUAGUGGUGAAAUGCGUAGAUAUCUGGAAGAACACCAAAGGCGAAGGCAGUGUCCUGGGUGGUCGCUGACGCUGAGAGGCGAAAGCCAGGGGAGCGAACGGG